UUGACCUCGGAUCGGGCAGGGAUACCCGCUGAACUU
This 36-nucleotide ribosomal RNA is filed under the name Leptogium hibernicum. RNAcentral's name for it is "partial 28S ribosomal RNA". Lineage: Eukaryota; Fungi; Ascomycota; Lecanoromycetes; Peltigerales; Collemataceae. The record is from RNAcentral.